RNAcentral lists this ribosomal RNA (493 nucleotides) under uncultured bacterium. Its description in RNAcentral is "partial 16S ribosomal RNA". It matches the Rfam family "Bacterial small subunit ribosomal RNA", at positions 30 to 507 of the family's 1533-position model. The record is from RNAcentral.
AUUGAACGCUGGCGGCAUGCUUUACACAUGCAAGUCGAACGGCAGCGCGGAGAAGCUUGCUUCCCCGUCGGCGAGUGGCGAACGGGUGAGUAUAGCAUCGGAACGUGCCAAGUAGUGGGGGAUAACCAAACGAAAGUUUGGCUAAUACCGCGUACGCUCGAAGGAGGAAAGUAGGGGACCUAAAUAAGCCCUUACUCCAUUUGAUCGUCCGAUUUCGGAUUAGCUAGUUGGUGGGGUAAUGGCUCACCAAGGCAAUGAUCCGUAGCGGGUCUGAGAGGACGAUCCGCCACACUGGAACUGAGACACGGCCCAGACUCCUACGGGAGGCAGCAGUGGGGAAUUUUGGACAAUGGGGGAAACCCUGAUCCAGCCAUGCCGCGUGUAUGAAGAAGGCCUUAGGGUUGUAAAGUACUUUUGUUAGGGAAGAAAAGCUAGUGUUUAAUAAAAAUUAGUGAUGACGGUACCUAAAGAAUAAGCACCGGCUAACUACGUG